GACGGAGGGUGCAAACGUUGUUCGGAAUCACUGGGCAUAAAGCGCACGUAGGCGGUCCGCUAAGUCAGUUGUGAAAUCCCUCGGCUCAACCGAGGAGUUGCACCUGAUACUGGCGGGCUCGAGAACGGUAGGGGUGAGUGGAACUCCAGGUGGAGCGGUGAAAUGCGUAGAUAUCUGGAGGAACACCGGUGGCGAAGGCGGCUCACUGGACCGUAUCUGACGCUGAGGUGCGAAAGCUAGGGUAGCAAACGGG
Molecule: ribosomal RNA, 253 nt
Filed under: uncultured bacterium
Lineage: Bacteria
Description: partial 16S ribosomal RNA
Rfam family: Bacterial small subunit ribosomal RNA
Source: RNAcentral